RNAcentral lists this ribosomal RNA (254 nucleotides) under uncultured bacterium. Its description in RNAcentral is "partial 16S ribosomal RNA". It matches the Rfam family "Bacterial small subunit ribosomal RNA", at positions 524 to 776 of the family's 1533-position model. The record is from RNAcentral.
UACGGGAAGUGCAAGCGUUAUUCGGAAUUACUGGGUGUAAAGGGUGCGUAGAUGGUUAAAAAUAACUAAAAUAUAAAAAGUAAUGCCCAACAUUAUUAAGCGUUUUAGUAUUUUUUAUCUUGAGUUUAAAAGACGAUUAUAGAAUUUUAGGUGUAGCAGUAAAAUGCGUAAAUAUCUAAAGGAAUUCUCUCUGUGAAGACGUUAAUCGAGUUUAUAACUGACAUUGAGGCACGAAAGCGUGGGGAGCAAAAAGG